UCAGAAUGUCCUGAAUAUUUUUGAAAAUCACAAAAAAACAUAACCCUAAAACACUUGCGUUUGACGCAGCUUCUUCUCUCGACUUUGUUCUCCUUCUCCGAUCUCUCGGCGAUUUGCCCGACGAGCUUCCUCUGUUCAACACCUUCCUCUGUUCAUCUAGCUUCCUCUGUUCGUCAAGCUCCUCUGUUCAUCAAGCUUCACUGUUUAUCGACGUCUUUAGGGAUUGACAUGGUUGCUUUCUGAGAAGUUGCAAGCUUCAAAUACUGGACUAGAAACAGGUUUUGUGAUAUUAAGGUAACAAUUACUGGUUUCAAGUUUAGACUAACUGAGUUAUAAAUGAGUUUUGGUCUCUUUGCUUAUUCAACUUAGACAUUUCAUUGACUUGUGAUACUACACUUGUUUUAAUGGGUUUUGGAAAUGAGCGAUUGGUGCUUUUGUUAGUUUGAGUUAGGCGUGGGCAUUCGGGUACCCAUUCGGGUUCGGUUCUUUU
Molecule: RNA transcript, 490 nt
Organism: Arabidopsis thaliana (thale cress)
Lineage: Eukaryota; Viridiplantae; Streptophyta; Magnoliopsida; Brassicales; Brassicaceae
Exons: 2
Source: RefSeq